UACGGGGGGGGCAAGCGUUGUUCGGAAUUACUGGGCGUAAAGGGUUCGUAGGUGGCCUACUAAGUCAGACGUGAAAUCCCUCAGCUUAACUGGGGAACUGCGUCUGAGACUGGAAGGCUCGAGUGCAGGAGAGGAACGCGGAAUUCCAGGUGUAGCGGUGAGAUGCGUAGAUAUCUGGAGGAACACCGGUGGCGAAGGCGGCGUUCUGGACUGCAACUGACACUGAGGAACGAAAGCCAGGGGAGCAAACGGG
This 253-nucleotide ribosomal RNA is filed under the name uncultured bacterium. Its description in RNAcentral is "partial 16S ribosomal RNA". It matches the Rfam family "Bacterial small subunit ribosomal RNA", at positions 524 to 776 of the family's 1533-position model. The record is from RNAcentral.